AGAUGUGAAGGUGAUAUGGCUGCAACAUCUGUCACCCCAUUGAUCGCCAAGGUUGCUUCAGCUGAUCUGGCUAGCGAGGUCGGUGUCUCCGUCCUCCCUCACCACUCCAUGUGCACCCCUCCCGAAGCUGCGCACUUGGUCGAAGAGGACCACCUUCCUGGAAUAGAGACAGACUGGUCUUCGAUUGAGAGCAUAUGAGUAACCGUGCCCCCCUGCUAGAACCUCCAAACAAGCUCUCAAAACCAGAGAAAGAAAGACAAAUGGUCAUCAGAAGAUGCAGAGUUAGAAUU
This is an unclassified non-coding RNA of Erinaceus europaeus (western European hedgehog), 290 nucleotides long. Its record names the gene 7SK. It matches the Rfam family "7SK RNA". Rfam says of the family: 7SK was discovered as an abundant small nuclear RNA in the mid-70s but a possible function has only recently been suggested. Two independent studies have found that 7SK RNA binds the CDK9/cyclin T complex (known as elongation factor P-TEFb). P-TEFb activates transcription by phosphorylating the C-terminal domain of RNA polymerase II. The record is from Ensembl. NCBI's taxonomy places the organism in Eukaryota, Metazoa, Chordata, Mammalia, Eulipotyphla, Erinaceidae.